Molecule: ribosomal RNA, 594 nt
Filed under: uncultured Pantoea sp.
Lineage: Bacteria; Pseudomonadati; Pseudomonadota; Gammaproteobacteria; Enterobacterales; Erwiniaceae
Description: bacterial SSU rRNA
Rfam family: Bacterial small subunit ribosomal RNA
Source: RNAcentral
CCUUGGGUGACGAGUGGCGGACGGGUGAGUAAUGUCUGGGGAUCUGCCCGAUAGAGGGGGAUAACCACUGGAAACGGUGGCUAAUACCGCAUAACGUCGCAGGACCAAAGAGGGGGACCUUCGGGCCUCUCACUAUCGGAUGAACCCAGAUGGGAUUAGCUAGUAGGCGGGGUAAUGGCCCACCUAGGCGACGAUCCCUAGCUGGUCUGAGAGGAUGACCAGCCACACUGGAACUGAGACACGGUCCAGACUCCUACGGGAGGCAGCAGUGGGGAAUAUUGCACAAUGGGCGCAAGCCUGAUGCAGCCAUGCCGCGUGUAUGAAGAAGGCCUUCGGGUUGUAAAGUACUUUCAGCGGGGAGGAAGGCGAUGCGGUUAAUAACCGCGUCGAUUGACGUUACCCGCAGAAGAAGCACCGGCUAACUCCGUGCCAGCAGCCGCGGUAAUACGGAGGGUGCAAGCGUUAAUCGGAAUUACUGGGCGUAAAGCGCACGCAGGCGGUCUGUUAAGUCAGAUGUGAAAUCCCCGGGCUUAACCUGGGAACUGCAUUUGAAACUGGCAGGCUUGAGUCUUGUAGAGGGGGGUAGAAUUCCAG